UUCUAUGCUGCUUCGUGACUUUUGUCGCAUUGCUCCAAUGGUGGAAAAAUUCACUCGGUAGAAGAGGGAGGAAGCUUGGUAAUAGAAAUGAUACAGUGAAACUGACAAUGCCAAAGAUCGGGGGAGAGAAUUAGGAGAGGGAUGCUUCGAGAGAUCAUGGCCAAAUUUUCGCUUCAGCUUUCCUACUAGGAGUCUUGGCGCUCUACAAAAUCGUCCAGAGGUCAGUCCACCUUGCGAGCCUGAUGGAAUUAGCAGUGGAAAAUAAAAGAGGACAUCUGGUGAAAAUGACAUAGCUAAACAGAAAGGCUACGAGACGAGCCUCCACCUCCAAACAGCUAUAGACCCUGUCUAGGUUGGGGAGUUUUAUCUCGAAUAACCAAACGAUCCAUUAAGCACACGAGUCAGCCGAUAUCUAGAAUCAAAUUCGAAUCCAGACAUCCAGGGACUCUAGUUGAAAACGGCUCUGACUAACCAACUGGGAGAGGACAGAAACUCGGCCUGACAACAGCGAACCCUCGAGCUCCAAAAUAGCUGCAUAGUUUCUGCUCCGAGUCGUCGGGCUCUGGGCACACAGAGCCCAGCACAGUCGAAAAAUCCUGUGACCAUUAUGGAUAUCCAAAAAACAAUAACGGGUAUAGCUGUCAUUAUCAUUGACGAGAUUCACCGAUAACUCCAUAUACUGUAAAGAGAAAGAACAUAAGGAUCAUCUGACAAGAUCUCAUAAUAACUCCUUAUGCAAUCAUCAUGAGUCACGAUUGACGCCUACGAUAUAUGAUAAUUCUAUCUGAAUGACUAUCUAUAUAUGAUAAUUCUAUAUGAAUGACUAUCAGACAUUUCCUCGAUCGAAACUCGUAGUUGACUUUUCAAUACUGUCAAAGGGUAUAGAUGAUUUUUAAAUUUACGAAAAAUCAUUUUAUCAUUUUAUCAGACGUACUUCUAUUUUCUUAUUAUCAGAUCCAAUAUUCCUCGUACGAAUAAUCAUGGCGCAUCCAUGCCUAAGAUAUACAUCCGCAAUUUGCGUGAAGAGCAUUCUCAUGCAAAGCAGGAUAUGCUUCCACCCAUGCAAAUCUAACCAAGUCUCUUCGAAGUUUAUUCCAAGGCACUGCUAUAUUAAGCGGAAGCAUAAAAAUAGUCGCCAUUAUUGCACCCAAUUAUAUAGGAUGUUUCAUAAAUUGUAUCCUGUAUCCAUACGUCAGACCUUAUCUACUUGGUUGAACGAGAAGGAUUUAUCUGAAAAUUAAAACUUGUAACUGAUACAAACGGCUGGAUGACAUAUAGAUAUACCUGUAUAUUUUUUUAUCGAUAAGACUAUGCAUAUCAACGUUAUCAGAUAUCUAAUCAUACCUGAUAGAAAUCCCGUAAAAUUAUUUUAACUGUGUACGUGUAACCCAAUGAACAGUAACUCACAAAAUUUUAGCCAUAUUUUUAUUCUAAUAUUGAAAAGUGUCUGAACAAAUUUUUGACGCUGUGCCGUUUUGACGUGUACUGUACUUCGAAGAUCCUUUUUCACAAAAUGGAGAAAAAAACUGAAAAAGUAUUUUCAAUGCAUCUGGCUAUGUGAUAUUUUUGUCUUCUCCUGUCGAGUUCUCUGAGAAGCCACGCUGCUUAGUUAAGUACACAUAACGUACCAGGCACUUAGACGUUGCCGAGAAAAUUAAAUAAAUAAAUAAACAAGUACAUUCUAAUCGCUGUGUAUUUUGUAAUACGUCAAAAAUUAUGACAAAAUUUUCUAAUAAGUUACAUAAGAGUCUAAUGUGCGAUUUCUAGCUUCAGCUGUAACAGAAGCUUCGGAAGCUUAGUCUUGCGAGAAAAUUUUUGGAAAAUUCCUCGUUAUUUGACUUGGCAUCAUUUUAUUGCGGCAGCUGUCGAGGUAGCCGGAAGUCACCUGUUACCAAAUUAUUUUAUGUCGUGGGCCGAUUUACUCGACCUCGAAUAUCAUCAUAGCGACGGAAUCCUCCUUGAAAACAAUUGUUGUUUUAUAUUAUUACAUAACUAGCCAGUAUCCAACUCAUUUAUUUUUUUGAUACAAUUUCAUUAUAAGUGAAAAAAUAAUAAUUGGAGAUCGACCCUUUGAGUAUUUGUAUAAAGGUACUGUUUAUUCGUAUUACAAAGGAAUUAAUGACAAUAUGUAUUCGCAGCUGACAACAGAGAUAACAGAUGGACUAAUGAAUGACGAAACGUCAUUUUGACAGAUUUGCUGAAAUUUUUACAAACUUUCAAAAGACAGCAUCCUGUUUUACGCAAUCAGACGUGUCAACGUACCAACGUAAAUCUAAGUAUAGAAUGAGCUUUUUUUGUGUACAGUCGAGUAGUCCUAACGACCUGGCAUAGUCAACCAUACAGUAUAGUUGUAUAAUUAGAGAAAUUUGAACAGAAGCAGAUACGUGAGUACAAUGAACUCUAUACAAAACAAAUUCAAGUGUUUUUUUUGUAUUUCUCCUAGACACAGCAGAAACAAGUACUCUUUUUAAUGAACAUUCCGAAUUCUCUGAAAAUAAAAUAAUUGAGAUUUUAAUCCUCGACCUCGAUUCUUCAAGGAUGUCAAUAACUGUUCUGAUACGAUUCGCUGAUUUCCGACUGAUUCGCUAAUUGUUAAAAUGUUUUUACAAAAAUUCCAUGUUAUUCAUAAAAAAAAUAAAAGAGUAUCUGGUGUACAUAUGACUUGUCAAUGUAACAAUUUAAUUGGGCAUUUAAUUAUAGUUAUAAUAAAUAAUCGUAUAAAUAAUAAAAUGUAAUAGGUAAUACAGUUGGUAACUAUCUUAGACUAUCCUCGAAGGUUCAUGUGAUUUCUAAGGUCCGCUCGACUGAUCUCUGGCAACCGGCGAGGUUAACGCUGAGGUCAGCCGUGGGUUUUAACAAGUAUUUUGACUAAAGCCAAGCGCAGACACAACAAGUAAACAAGUAAGUGAGUUUCGAGGGUGGCAAAUGGCGCGAGUAGGUAUGAAAAAUUUUAUUGGUAAAACAUUCUGAACAUUGUUACAGAUAAUACAACAAGGGAGUAUAAGGAUCCACGUAAACAAUAAAUUCUGUGGCGUCGCUCAACCGGCAAAUCAAAUCGAUUCAAUCGAUCCGAUCGAAUGCGGAGGAAUCGACAGCAAUCCAGCAUUUGCAAACUGGUGCAGGAAAUUUAUUUUCUUUUCGCAAGCAAAACCCUAUUUCCUAUUGCAUUAAUGGGCCCAAGCUUUAUGCAAUGCUGUACAUGGCCGUCGGUCGUGACGAUUUUUUCCUUUUAAUUCCCACCAAUCCACGUCUAUUCACCGGUUGAAUCGUUUGAUUUAUUUGUUGAUAAAACUAAUUAAGUUUACAAGGUUCAUUAAGAGCGGAUAAGAAAUUUAUAAAAUUAUUAUAUAUAAUUAAUGCGUUGGUCAAGUGCACAGAGUAUGCGGACAUUUUGAAAGCGAGGAAAAGUAAAAAAGUUCAAUAACGUGUUAUUCAAGUUCACUUUUGAAUCUGCCCUUCUGUGGUUGACUGUACCGCACGAUAUUCCUGCUUAGCAACCAACGUGGAUAGUAACCUGGGGUCGAAUUCCCGCGUCGUUCUAAGAAUAUAUUUAGAUCUUCAAAUCUCGAAUCGAUAGUCGUCCACGAGACUCGGUCCUGCUAAAUAUAAAGGAUUGUAAUAUUUAUAGUCAUCGGCAAAACUCGUAGUAUGUUAAAGCAGUAGGAGACAGAGGUAUUACUGGUAGGCGUAUCUAUUUUUGAAAAUAAAAAUUAUAAAUGCAAGUGAACGUACGGACUCUUUGUAUGUGUUGAAUUAUUGAUCUGGUAUUGUAUCAAUAUGCAGGAUAUUAUCUCUUUCCAGGUAUAUUCGCUUUAGUUUUUCAUUUCUAAUUCUAUACCAUUGUUCUUGUAUCGAUUCUAAAUAAAAAUAUACGCUUCGCGUGGUAUCUCGUCCUAGCAGGUUGGCGUGGAGGAUCUACUGUCUUUAAAAGAGUCCAUUUUCUUAGCCAAUGACUGUACGAAAACAGGUUUCUUCUUGGGCCACGUUCCCUUAUAGGCAGUAACUCAUGCGUGGAUCAGUUCCAAAAGAAUUCACGAGAGGAGGUACGACGAUGCGAUAAAUUCAUCAUAAUCUAAGUGCUGUACAUCAAUUCGUGAAAGACAGUAACUGUAAACCUUGGGCUUCUGCUAAGUAGGUCUACCAGUCUGUAGGCUGAAGUGCAAUGUACCUUGCUGACUGUGAGUCACAAGAUCUAAAUGACUGGGCGCAGUACUGACCAUUAUAACCAGAAGAAAAAUCUAGUUAAAAAAUAUUAAUUAAAAGGAAGAAGCGCAACUAAUUUUACAAAUGUGAAAGUCACGUCUACCAACAAAUCACAUGGAGGCUUUACGAUCGGUCGAAUAAAGUUUUACGUUUUACACUCAUUCAAGAUACAUAACCUGUUAUUACAAUGGCGAUCUUUGUAAAAUUUAUUAUCUUAUCCGUUGGCUUUCGGUAGAAACUAAUAAAACAUUACCUGUACUCUUUUAAUCUACAGCUGCUCCGCCAAGUCCUAUAGGAACACUUUGUAGAAUCUUAUUCUAUAGUCUCGAACUCUCAACUCAGUGAGUGGGUCUUGUCAUGUAC
Molecule: long non-coding RNA, 4566 nt
Organism: Cephus cinctus (wheat stem sawfly)
Lineage: Eukaryota; Metazoa; Arthropoda; Insecta; Hymenoptera; Cephidae
Exons: 5
Source: RefSeq, a predicted model, not a curated record